RNAcentral lists this unclassified non-coding RNA (234 nucleotides) under air metagenome. RNAcentral's name for it is "partial contains small subunit ribosomal RNA, internal transcribed spacer 1, and 5.8S ribosomal RNA". The stretch from base 1 to 46 matches the Rfam family "Eukaryotic small subunit ribosomal RNA", at positions 1786 to 1831 of the family's 1831-position model. The record is from RNAcentral.
AAGUCGUAACAAGGUUUCCGUAGGUGAACCUGCGGAAGGAUCAUUAACAAACCUCAGGCGCUCGCGCCCACAGGUAACCCUUGAAUAAACUACCUUUGUUGCUUUGGCGGGCCGCCUCUCCGGCCAGCGGCUUCGGCUGCUGCGCGCCCGCCAGAGGACCACAACUCUUGUUUUUAGUGAUGUCUGAGUACUAUAUAAUAGUUAAAACUUUCAACAACGGAUCUCUUGGUUCUG